This 348-nucleotide unclassified non-coding RNA is filed under the name Hevea brasiliensis (rubber tree). The record is from RNAcentral. Lineage: Eukaryota; Viridiplantae; Streptophyta; Magnoliopsida; Malpighiales; Euphorbiaceae.
UCAGUUGAAUCAUGCAGGGCCAAUGUUCCCUUCAUUAGAUUCUCAUGCUACCAAUAUUAAUGCUCAGAUGAAAUUCAUGGCCCUAGAGAACAUUCAUCAAGAUCCUCCUAAUCAUCAAUUUUCUGCAAAUUUACUACGUCCUCCAUUCCACCACCCCAGUGCUGCACUGAAUGGAUUAGGUCCUAACCCACAUAAUCCUAUGUUGCAGCAAAUGCAUAUGCCUGGCAAUUUUCCUUCACGCCACCUUCUACGUGGAUUUGCCAGGGGUGCACCUUUGCAUCCACAUCCCAACAAUCACGCCCCCGGUAUUAUACAGGAGCCAAACCCAAUGCAAGGUUUCCCUUUUGG